UUAGGUCCACAAAUAU
RNAcentral lists this small RNA (16 nucleotides) under Arabidopsis thaliana (thale cress). RNAcentral's name for it is "ATSL158680". Lineage: Eukaryota; Viridiplantae; Streptophyta; Magnoliopsida; Brassicales; Brassicaceae. The record is from RNAcentral.